This is a small nuclear RNA of Phyllostomus discolor (pale spear-nosed bat), 105 nucleotides long. The record is from RefSeq and is a predicted model, not a curated record. Lineage: Eukaryota; Metazoa; Chordata; Mammalia; Chiroptera; Phyllostomidae.
GCUUGCUUCGGCAGUGCAUAUACUAAAGUUGGAACAAUGCAGAGAAGAUUAGCAUGGCCCCUGUGCAAGGAUGACAUGCAAAUUCAUAAAGCGUUCCAUGUUUUU